GACGGGGCCCGGCACAAGCGGUGGAGUAUGUGGUUUAAUUCGAUGCAACGCGAAGAACCUUACCUGGUCUUGACAUCCCGGAGACCCUUAGGAACUAGGGGUGCUUCCAUCUGGAAGAAUCUGGAGACAGGUGCUGCAUGGCUGUCGUCAGCUCGUGUCGUGAGAUGUUGGGUUAAGUCCCGCAACGAGCGCAACCCUUGCCUUUAGUUGCCAGCAGUUCGGCUGGGCACUCUAAAGGGACUGCCGGUGUUAAACCGGAGGAAGGUGGGGAUGACGUCAAGUCCUCAUGGCCUUUAUGACCAGGGCUACACACGUACUACAAUGGCCGAUACAAAGGGCAGCGACACUGCGAGGUGAAGCCAAUCCCGUAAAAUCGGUCUCAGUCCGGAUUGGAGUCUGCAACUCGACUCCAUGAAGUUGGAAUCGCUAGUAAUCGUGGAUCAGCAUGCCACGGUGAAUACGUUCCCGGGCCUU
This 474-nucleotide ribosomal RNA is filed under the name uncultured Desulfobulbus sp. Its description in RNAcentral is "bacterial SSU rRNA". It matches the Rfam family "Bacterial small subunit ribosomal RNA", at positions 916 to 1381 of the family's 1533-position model. Lineage: Bacteria; Pseudomonadati; Thermodesulfobacteriota; Desulfobulbia; Desulfobulbales; Desulfobulbaceae. The record is from RNAcentral.